This is a long non-coding RNA of Anoplopoma fimbria (sablefish), 461 nucleotides long. RefSeq lists it as uncharacterized. The record is from RefSeq and is a predicted model, not a curated record. The transcript has 3 exons. NCBI's taxonomy places the organism in Eukaryota, Metazoa, Chordata, Actinopteri, Perciformes, Anoplopomatidae.
AGAGAUACACCAUCAGCAGCAGAAGAUGACCGUGUCGGAGCCGCAACACCUGUUGAAGAAUCAUCAGCAGAGGUGAGGAAUGCAGUCCCAUCAGUGAGCAAGAGGAGCAAGCCACUUUCUGGAGAUGAUGACCGGCUCACAGCUGUGAUGUCUGUCAAAGGUAAAGCUCCCAGGAAAAGAAAACCAUGGCAGGACGAAGAGGUAAAAGCCGUUGAAAAGCAUAUGAAGCGGUUCAUCACUUCAUGCAUCGUCCCUUCAAAGAGAGACUGUGAAAAGUGUCUAAGAGCUGAGCCAGCAGCUCUCAAUAAUCGGGAUUGGCAAAUGUUAAAAUAUUAUGUAUACAACCGCAUCACAGCGUACAAAAAGAAAGUCCAGCAUUCCUAAUGUUUAAAAAAGGCUGAUUCUGCUAGUUUUGUGAGCAGUGCUUUGCUUAUGUCUUAUGUUAUGGUUAUUUUCACUGU